GAAGGUAUUAAAUCAUCAUUUGGAUAGCUGACUAGAUAGAUUAUUACCAAAUUAAUGUCUUCUUCCAACUUGGUGACUAUGUGAAUGUGGAUAAAAAUACUGCGUUUCAAUUUGCAGAAAACUUCAUCACUGAGGAAUCCACAGAGGUCGUCACCACAGCUGAGGCUGUGCAUGAAUACAGGAAGCAGAUUGCCUGUAGCUGCUACAAAAUCCGGGCGAUGCAAAAGAUUACUGCAUAGUGUGCGCCCUGCUGGAGUGCGAUCCACAGCACAGCAUGAUUGGAAUGGUGCAGUGUGGGACAUAUCAUCGGUGGGCCCAUUUGGAAUGCGCCAAGUACACCGACGAAGAAAAUUACACCUGUCCAAAAUGCUUGUGAUUGAAUAAAUGCAGAAUAAAAAAGGAA
Molecule: long non-coding RNA, 403 nt
Organism: Cololabis saira (Pacific saury)
Lineage: Eukaryota; Metazoa; Chordata; Actinopteri; Beloniformes; Belonidae
Exons: 3
Source: RefSeq, a predicted model, not a curated record